RNAcentral lists this ribosomal RNA (461 nucleotides) under Platycleis escalerai. RNAcentral's name for it is "eukaryotic LSU rRNA". It matches the Rfam family "Eukaryotic large subunit ribosomal RNA", at positions 716 to 1132 of the family's 3401-position model. The record is from RNAcentral. Lineage: Eukaryota; Metazoa; Arthropoda; Insecta; Orthoptera; Tettigoniidae.
CAAUGAAAGUGAAUUUCCGCCUCGUGCGGACCGAGGGAAGAUGGGCCGCGCUGCUGUGCGGCUCCGCAUUCCCGGGGCGUCUCGUUCUCAUUGCGAGUUGAGGCGCACCCAGAGCGUACACGUUGGGACCCGAAAGAUGGUGAACUAUGCCUGGCCAGGACGAAGUCAGGGGAAACCCUGAUGGAGGUCCGUAGCGAUUCUGACGUGCAAAUCGAUCGUCGGAGCUGGGUAUAGGGGCGAAAGACUAAUCGAACCAUCUAGUAGCUGGUUCCCUCCGAAGUUUCCCUCAGGAUAGCUGGUGCUCGAACGAGUCUCAUCCGGUCAAGCGAAUGAUUAAAGGCCUUGGGGCCGAAACGACCUCAACCUAUUCUCAAACUUUAAAUGGGUGAGAUCUCCGGCUUGCUUGAAACAGUUUUGAAGCCGCGAGAAUAAUUUUCUUGGAUCGAAGUGCCAAGUGGGCC